This 76-nucleotide transfer RNA is filed under the name Salmonella phage FSL SP-058. RNAcentral describes it as "tRNA-Asn". Lineage: Duplodnaviria; Heunggongvirae; Uroviricota; Caudoviricetes; Schitoviridae. The record is from RNAcentral.
GCCGCUCAACUGCGCCUGCGCGUACUGGAAGAUGAAGAAGGCGUACUUCUGAAUAUGCUUCAGCAGCGUGGUCUGG